RNAcentral lists this ribosomal RNA (746 nucleotides) under uncultured Finegoldia sp. Its description in RNAcentral is "bacterial SSU rRNA". It matches the Rfam family "Bacterial small subunit ribosomal RNA", at positions 28 to 776 of the family's 1533-position model. Lineage: Bacteria; Bacillati; Bacillota; Tissierellia; Tissierellales; Peptoniphilaceae. The record is from RNAcentral.
GACGAACGCUGGCGGCGUGCUUAACACAUGCAAGUCGAACGGGAUUUAGUAAACAGAAGCCUCGGUGGAAGAUUACUAAUGAGAGUGGCGAACGGGUGAGUAACGCGUGAGCAACCUGCCUAUGACAGUGGGAUAGCCUCGGGAAACCGGGAUUAAUACCGCAUAAAAUCGUAGAAACACAUGUUUUAACGGUCAAAGAUUUAUCGGUCAUAGAUGGGCUCGCGUCUGAUUAGCUAGUUGGUGAGAUAACAGCCCACCAAGGCGACGAUCAGUAGCCGGUCUGAGAGGAUGAACGGCCACAUUGGAACUGAGACACGGUCCAAACUCCUACGGGAGGCAGCAGUGGGGAAUAUUGCACAAUGGGGGAAACCCUGAUGCAGCGACGCCGCGUGAACGAAGAAGGUAUUCGUAUCGUAAAGUUCUGUCCUAUGGGAAGAUAAUGACAGUACCAUAGAAGAAAGCUCCGGCUAAAUACGUGCCAGCAGCCGCGGUAAUACGUAUGGAGCGAGCGUUGUCCGGAAUUAUUGGGCGUAAAGGGUACGCAGGCGGUUUAAUAAGUCGAAUGUUAAAGAUCGGGGCUCAACCCCGUAAAGCAUUGGAAACUGAUAAACUUGAGUAGUGGAGAGGAAAGUGGAAUUCCUAGUGUAGUGGUGAAAUACGUAGAUAUUAGGAGGAAUACCAGUAGCGAAGGCGACUUUCUGGACACAAACUGACGCUGAGGUACGGAAGCGUGGGGAGCAAACAGG